Long non-coding RNA from Triticum aestivum (bread wheat), 2521 nucleotides. RefSeq lists it as uncharacterized. Lineage: Eukaryota; Viridiplantae; Streptophyta; Magnoliopsida; Poales; Poaceae. The record is from RefSeq and is a predicted model, not a curated record. The transcript has 5 exons.
CCCUUCCACUCUAUUCCAUUGAUGCAAAUUUUUCUCUUUUUUUCAUGAUUGACCACUCGCAAUGGAGUUGGAAGCAGGAGGGAUGUGGGUCAGGCAUCUGCAUGUGCUACUGAAUUCGAUUGAUGGUUCUUGAUUGCUGAGUAAUUCCUGUUAGUUGUUAUAUGUGCUGCUGAAUUCUCCAGUAGGGACUUGAUUCAUGUUGGUUGCUGACUUCGUUGUUGAUUGUUGAUUGUCGAGAGAAAAUCCAAGUGAGCGGUUGCAUGCUGGCGCUGGCGAUGCAUCUUCUCCCGCCCAUGCAGCCUCCCCACUAUGCCUCCACACCCAGAUUUGAGUCCUCUCGGUCUCCAUCCCCCGUCUAUGGUCGGCAACAGCAAUCAUAAUGAUAGCGAAGUGGUGCGACCAGGGGAUGGCAUACAUACGUUGUUGCCGUCGGCUGGCCUCUGCUCGCAUUCAGGAAUGAUGCGUGUUUGCUUUACUGUAGGUGCUUUGGCGCUCUGUAUUUGCUUGUUGUAGAUGCUCUGCUUCCUCUGUUUGCUGCUUUGUCGUGUAGCAAUCAGGUGGUUUGUAGCUGCUGAUGUAAUCCAAGAUGAAGCAGGCACACAUGUGGACGCUGCUUCUCGCUUGUCUAGCUGCAACUGAUCGCUGGACAAUCACUUAGGGCAGUAUCAUUGCCAUAUAAUUAUUGUAGAGUUGUGUAAGUUUGAUUCAUGAAUGAUAGGACCAAGGAAGGAUAAAUGAAAUGCUUUGCAGUUCAAAAGAGAGUUAACAAUGAUUUAACGACGUUGGAUGGCUGAAUGUGCUCCUAAAGAAGAGGUCGGCUGCUAACAGGUUCCAGGUGGCUGGGAUUGAGGAAAUUAUAUCAGGAAACGAUUUUACAAGGAUGCAUCCCUUUUUACAUGGGGAAGCAGAUAACAAUAACGAACCAAGCAAGAUGACUAUGGUGCGUGACCUCAAGCUGUGAUAGGACAAAAACUGGAUCUUCUGUGCCCGUUGAAGAUGAGAUGGAUGAAGUUACUGAUGAAGCAAUUGGUGCAAAGCUCAAUAUUUUAUAUACACAGAAAAGGGCAAUUUCUUCAGAACUUGCCACUGCUCAUGCAUGUGAAAAGAACAUAGCUGAUAAAAACAAGUCUCUUAAGCACAAGGUAAGGAAGUCAUUCUCGGAGAAGCAGAGAUUGUUGUAACAACGCUUAGUGGGUGUGGAGGUGAUAUUUACGGAGUUUGCUCGGAAACUGCUUCAACUAAGAAAUAUGGAAAUUUCUCUGAGCAAGCUUUAUUUGAUGUUUUUGUUAUCGAUUUAAGCUGCACAGGUGGGGUCUCGGACUCUCAAUACAAACUAUCCUCUUUCAAAUCAAGCUAGCUUUAUAUUUAAUAUUUAUUAUAUGCUAAACACUAAGCUUCUUUUGGUUUACUCAUAUUUAGGCUCUUGAGCAUGCAACUUUGAUUCCACUUUAGCUACUCAAGUCAAAAGGAACUAAGUGCAUAAUGUACCGAAUGCAUCCUUACAUUAGCAGAUUCCCAUCGUUGCAUUUCUAUGAAAACAAACUGCUGGAUGGUGCUCAGAAGGCUGAGAAAUCAGAUCCUUUCCAUGAUCACCGUUGUCUUGGUCCAUACAUGUUCUUUGAUAUUGCCGAUGGUCAUGAGCAUGCUGGAACAAGUGCUGCUGCACAAUUACUCUCUAAUCAAUUUGAAGCUGGUGCAUCACUUGAAAUACUGUCAUUUUUAAAGAACAAAUAUCCAACAGAUUUCUCCUGUAGAAAGAUAGGGAUCAUAACUUAUGGCUAUGUUGUGGAAGAGUUCUUGCGGGUAGCAUCUUUCCAUUGUCUGUAAAUUGAUGUAUAAAGCGGGCAUUCCAUUCUUUAUAAAUUGAUAGAUAAAAUGGAUGCAUGUGUGAGCUUGAGAAAGAAGGAGACGACAAGUGAAAGACUGAGAAGACCAGGGAUUCUUCUUUGCCAGCCGUAAGGUGGAGGCGUUGCUUAGGGAACAUGUGCGUACAUCCUUGCUCCUUUUAUUCUUCCAGUUUUAGGUACUUUCCAGCAGGCUUGUACGGAGUACCUAUCUUGCUAUGUACUGAAUUAUUUGCAACUAUGUAGCAAACUAUAUUAGGAGAUCCAGAUAUAUAAUGCGUCUGUGUACAACAACAACAACAACAACAAAGCCUUUAGUCCCAAACAAGUUGGGGUAGGCUAGAGGUGAAACCCAUAAGAUCUCGUAACCAACUCAUGGCUCUGGCACAUGGAUAGCAAGCUUCCACGCACCCCUGUCCAUAGCUAGCUCUUUGUCGAUACUCCAAUCCUUCAGGUCUCUCUUAACGGACUCCUCCCAUGUCAUAUAUAAUGCGUCUGUGUAUGAAUUAAUUAUUACCAUCACCUAGCUAGCUUGUUACCUGAAAGAUCGAGGUGAACUUUUAUUGUAUGGAUGUUGUGUCGCUGGAAUUCUGUGAUGUUUCAGGAACACAUUGUUUUUUCAUUUUUGGGACUUCAUGUGAGUUUUGGGCCGUGGCUCCCUCAAAUCAAGUCGGAUC